UACGGAGGAUGCGAGCGUUAUCCGGAUUUAUUGGGUUUAAAGGGUGCGUAGGCGGAUCGUUAAGUCAGUGGUCAAAUUGAGGGGCUCAACCCCUUCCCGCCAUUGAAACUGGCGAUCUUGAGUGGAAGAGAAGUAUGCGGAAUGCGUGGUGUAGCGGUGAAAUGCAUAGAUAUCACGCAGAACCCCGAUUCCGAAGGCAGCAUGCCGGCUUCCGACUGACGCUGAAGCACGAAAGCGUGGGGAUCGAACAGG
This 252-nucleotide ribosomal RNA is filed under the name uncultured bacterium. RNAcentral's name for it is "partial 16S ribosomal RNA". It matches the Rfam family "Bacterial small subunit ribosomal RNA", at positions 524 to 776 of the family's 1533-position model. The record is from RNAcentral.